Molecule: long non-coding RNA, 1846 nt
Organism: Talpa occidentalis (Iberian mole)
Lineage: Eukaryota; Metazoa; Chordata; Mammalia; Eulipotyphla; Talpidae
Exons: 6
Source: RefSeq, a predicted model, not a curated record
CUUGAGUUAUUAACGCCUUUCCAACUGAAAAUGAAGUAUUUUUCCUGAGUCUAAUUUACAAAUUUUAAAACUUUGUUCAUUACUAUGAUUAUAUAUUAUCGAAAUGAAAUACACCAGCACCACAGCUACAUGUGGCUGUACCUCCCACCCCUGACCUUCAGCUCUCUGGUCUGCAAAGGAGACUGGAUUAGAUGCUCUUGAAUUUGACCGCAAAUCCACAAUUCCACAACUGUGAGCAUACUGAACCGGGGUAGAAGCUCGCACCUGUCUGUGAAGAAGACUUCGGUCCGUUCAUUUACUCAAGAAAUUCAACUGGCACCUUUUAGUUGUGAUAGUAAUAUACACAGGCGAAGUUUCAGCCAUACAAAGAACAAGUAAAAAGUGCAGCCACCUUGCCUGCCCCCAUCCUACUCAGCUCUGCCUGAGGAAAGUGACUGGUUCUCACCUUGUCCCCUUCAGCCACCUGACAGAUGAUUUCCCCAGUGGACGGAUUGACCGUGGGAAACGUCUUCUUGCUGACGGCGUCGUGCCACUCAUUAUUUAUGAAGAUCUACAAUGAGAAAGGAGAAAGUUCUCAGGACCAGCUCUCAACCCAGUAAUGGCAAGAGAUAUAAAAGCAAGAACAAAGAAAGAUUAGAUAUGAAUGUGACCUGGAGGUUGAAAGCAUGGGCCUUGGAGACCAUUCAGGCUCUGCCCAGUGGACUUGGCAGUGUUUGCAACAACCCAACACUGAAAUGAGCGCAAGAAGCUUCUUGUGGGGCCAGUUCCAGCAACGGGGAACACUUGAGAAGCCUUGGAAAGAAUAAGCUGAGUGUAGGACUUGGAUAAUCCAGGCGCACAGGUCAAGGAGACAGGACUCCAGAACAUCGGGAUUCCCAGCCGAGCCAAGUCAUAGUCACUCAAACCUGAGGCAACAGACAGAGCCGCCCCGGCUGUCAGUGACCCUGCUUCUCUGAGGCCGGUGGAAGAGGUGCUGAGUGACUCCGGAGCCUGCAGCUGACUCCAGACCCAGCCUGAGAGCUGCCCAGGGGAAACCGCUGCCCUGUCCCCACGCUGCAGGUUGGAUGAUUUGGAAAUACUGGGCUACAAGCUGGGACCAACCCAGAACCAAAGUUCUGGUUCAAACACAGGCAUGGACAGCUCAAGGUUUCUAUUACCUUCUUGGCAAGUCCGGAACUCUGGGAGCAAGGUCGGUAUGUUCAAAUACAGAUUAAAUUAGAAGUCUUAUUUAUUGAAGAGUUGUUCCAGGAAGAUGAGGGGAAGCCUCCUUCUCCAGGUAAGCAUGAAUGACGAUGUGCUACACCAAAGAGGGUAUGGAGUCAGGCAGGGCCUGACCGAGGGGAGAGAAUUCCAUUGCUGUAAGUCUUGCUUCAAGGAGGGAGGAGAUUGAAUAUGAGGUUAAUUGCCAACACUCUGUGCUCUAAAUUUCUGCCUGUCAGUUCUACUAAAUGUUAUGUGCUAAAACAGCAGUACCCAACAGAACUUUCUGCAAUGAUGGAAAUGCUCUCUAUCGCACUGCCUAGUACAACAGCCAUGAGCUGCGAGGCCACUAAGCUCCUGAGAUUCAACUUAUCUGUCACAUUCAACACGGUGUUCCUUCGAGGCCAGCCCAGCGCCUGGUCACAGUAACAGCUCAGUAAGAAUCUGUUUUCUGGCUGAGUGAGGUUUAAGCACAUCAUCUAUCAAUAAUUCACAUCUAUCCUGGGAUAGUGAUCUAUUUUGUUAGGAAACUGGGGAAUCUUUCUUAGAAGUCACCUCCCGGCCCAGAAAAUCACCUCUUGACAUAGGUCAUUCUCAAUGUACUUGGCGAGACCUGCACGGUGCUGUCCAGUAGUAGACACUACCC